RNAcentral lists this ribosomal RNA (468 nucleotides) under uncultured bacterium. RNAcentral's name for it is "partial 16S ribosomal RNA". It matches the Rfam family "Bacterial small subunit ribosomal RNA", at positions 28 to 507 of the family's 1533-position model. The record is from RNAcentral.
GACGAACGCUGGCGGCGUGCUUAACACAUGCAAGUCGAACGGAAAGGCCCUGCUUUUGUGGGGUGCUCGAGUGGCGAACGUGUGAGUAACACGUGAGUAACCUGCCCUUGACUUUGGGAUAACUUCAGGAAACUUGGGCUAAUACCGGAUAGGAGCUCCUGCUGCAUGGUGGGUGUUGGAAAGUUUCGGCGGUUGGGGAUGGACUUGCGGCUUAUCAGCUUGUUGGUGGGGUAGUGGCUUACCAAGGCUUUGACGGGUAGCCGGGCUGGGAGGGUAACCGGCCACAUUGGGACGGAGAUGCGGCCCAGACUCCUACGGGAGGCAGCAGUGGGGAAUAUUGCACAAUGGGAGGAAGCCUGAUGCAGCAACGCCGCGUGCGGGAUGACGGCCUUCAGGUUGUAAACCGCUUUCGCCUGUGAAGAAGAGUGAGUGACGGUAAUGGGUAAAGAAGCACCGGCUAACUACGUG